CUCAUGUUUUAUGCUUCUUCAAAAGAGCGUAAGAUUAUUCAAAGAGCAAUCUGCAUGGUUCUUACGUAAUAAAUUAGGAGUAUUAUUUCUAAAUAAAAGAUUUGUUUUUUUCAUCUAAUUACCUGAAGCAAUGCAUGUAUCAUUCUCCUAUUUUCAGCAUUCAAAGAAUUUUAGCUGUGCUUGGUCUUUAUGAGCAAAAAAACCCCCUUAGGCACUAUCUUCACAUCAGAGUUUGUCAAUCAUCCUAAAAUAAUGAAUAGAAGGAAGUAGCCCAUAAAGGUGCCCAACUAAGGCCUCUCAAUCUUCUAAUUUCCUUCUCAGUUCACCUGCAGAAUUGGAAACUGGAGACUCAGUCUCCCUUCACUCCAGUCCAGUAAUACUAGGGAAGACACUCAGAAAAAUGCCUGCAUGGCUGGUUUCAAAGAAAGGAUUCCUUCAGAACAGCUUUCCGUCUCCUUUCUCCGAGUACAGGUUACGAGCAAAGAAACGGCAACAUCAUUCUUUUAUCUGGUUCAAGCAUAACUUUGCUGGGCAAGUUUUUUUUUUGUUUUGUUCUUUUUUUUUUUUUUUUUUUUUUUUUA
Molecule: long non-coding RNA, 581 nt
Filed under: Homo sapiens (human)
Lineage: Eukaryota; Metazoa; Chordata; Mammalia; Primates; Hominidae
Description: HSALNT0346348
Source: RNAcentral